ACAUGCGGAGGGAUGCUGAUAACAGGUAUGGUUUUAUUUGCAAUUUUGUAACGACGAGUCAAUUGAAAUACCUGUUACAUUCAUUGGUUUUGGGGGACUAUGGCCGUUAGUUCUCUGAUCAAUGAAUGACUACGGGUAGUUCAACUGUCUCCAAUCAAAAUUGUCAAAUAAAACCUGGCCAAUCAUGGAUGCAGAAAAUGAUUUAAUGACCAAUGACCGAUGGGAUGAGCAUGCAUACACUCAAACUUUACACUGCGUGAACGAACGAUAUGAGUACACCCGCUGUGCCACCCACUUUUGAGCGACGGUUGUCGGGUUAUAUCAGCCGUCUGGCGAAAACUUGCAUGCAAGUUAUGCUGCAUUUAGAGCAGGAUUUAAAUUUUGGGAAUCUAUCAUUCGUUCCGAUUUUGGUAAUAUUACAUAGCAUUUUUUUGCGAUAGUAUAGUUUGUUAUGCUUUUAGAUCCGCGGCAGAAAAAACCCCGAGCGGUUUUCCGUUCAUGUCGGCGAGUUCGUACGAACUUGUACCCUUUUUUUCUGAGAACAACACAAGGAAUGAAUUGAGGACCUAAUUUAGCAUUGUACCUCUGGCUAGCGGAAGACAGCUGGAAAUUCCUUUUAAAUACCCGUUGGCCUGGUUGGAAUGAGGGGAUCGAAUCUGUUCCGGCAGCUAACAUCGCAGUUCUACAAUCUUCCCUGGUAUUGCGGAAAAGAGUAUCAAAUUUCCGACGGUCAUCCCAUGGCUCGGACAUGCAACGGAAAAUACGGACUAUAUCCAGCUUUCAAAAGCUCGCGUAAAGUGCGUUCCUGACUGCUGCGCCUCAAAUCGGACACGUCUGUGUGGCGGAUACGCAACUCAUGAUCAAGCUCGUGAUCUGAGAGAUGAGCUGGGUUUAUGGAUAAAUAUUGUUGUUUUAAUUGCGAUUCCAUUUUCGUGUUUAGAAUUUAUCAGUUGAAUAAUCAAAGGUACUUAACAAGAACAGCAAAAGAAAAGAUGAACAGAACCACAAAAUAACUGAAUGUUAAGUCAAUCAGAUGAACUUAUGAAUUAAAAUAGCA
This is a long non-coding RNA of Uranotaenia lowii, 1057 nucleotides long. RefSeq lists it as uncharacterized. The record is from RefSeq and is a predicted model, not a curated record. The transcript is spliced from 4 exons. NCBI's taxonomy places the organism in Eukaryota, Metazoa, Arthropoda, Insecta, Diptera, Culicidae.